AUGAAAGCCUGUGAACAAAAGGAUGUGGAUUUUGAAAAACGAGUGCUGACAAUGUCCGAGGAGCUUCAGAGUGUGCACAAAGAAAAAGAGGCUCUGAUGUCUGCAGAAGAGCUGUACGUGCUGCGCUCGAGUGUGGCUUCUGUCACUGAAGAAAGAGAUCAACUCAAAAUGGACAUGCAGGAAAACAUGGACAUAAUGAUAGAGGUUCAGGAGGAGCUGAGAAUGGCUCUGGAGAAGAACCAGAAACAGAAGGAACUCAUUAAACAGCUACAGACCACUUCCAAAGGGCAGGAACCUCCCGUUAAUGCGUGUCCACAGCUUGAGGAUCUCCAAGCACAGCUGAAGAUUCAGGUGGAGGAGCUGAAGAGUGUGCAAGCAGAGAGAGACUCUCUGCUGUCUGAGAGGACAGCUGACCCUCAGAGCUCCACAGACGAGAAGGAGGAGCUACUGAACAGAGUGAAGACUCUCAGUGAGGAUCGAGACAAGCAGCAGGAGAUCCUGGAAGGACUGAGGCAGGAGAAACAGCAGCUCCAACUACAGCUUGAGGACACGACUCAAGAGCUGCACACUCAGAUGAGAGGUCUGACAGAGAAGCAGCAGAUGUUGGAAGCAGAGAGAAACUCUUCCACAGAGGAGAAGGAGGGGCUGUUGGACAGAGUGAAGACUCUCAGUGAGGCCAGAGAUGAGCUGCAGGCGAUCCUGGAAGGACUGAGGCAGGAGAAGAAGCAGCUCCAAUUAAAGCUGGAGGACACAACUGAGGAGCUGCACACUCAGAUGAAAGGUCUGACAGAGAAGCUUCAGAUGUUGGAAGCAGAGAGAGACCUUCUGCUAUCUGAGAGGGCAGCUGACACUCAGAGCUCCACAGAGGAGAAGGAAAAGCUGCUGAACAGAGUGAAGACUCUCAGUGAGGACAGAGACGAGCUGCAGGAGAUCCUGGAAGGACUGAGGCAGGAGAAGCAGCAGCUCCAACUUCAGCUGGAGGACACGACUGAAGAGCUGCACAGCCAGGUUUGAAAUCAAUCUCUCAUAUAAAAACUUAUAUCUAUUUUACACACAAUUGAAUGUAAAAUUAUAUUAGCUUUUAUCUGCUCUCUAUCUAACCAGCAGUUAACACCUUUUACUAUUUUUCAUACAGAUGAGAUGUUUCACAGAGAAGUUAGAGAUGUUGGAAGCAGAGAGAGACACUCAGAACUCCACAGAGGAGAAGGAGGAGCUGCUGAACAGAGUGAAGACUCUCAGUGAGGACAGAGACGAGCUGCAGGAGAUCCUGGAAGGACUGAGGCAGGAGAAGCAGCAGCUCCAACUACAGCUGGAGGACACGAUGGAGAAGAUGCAGUGUGAGUUUCAACAGCACCUCAGCAAUGAGACUCACCCUCAGCAGCUUCUGCAGGUACUCCACUGCCAGCCUUAUUUUCUACACUACCCCAUUAAAACCUGAAACCAUGUCUGUGCCUAGAUUCAAAAGCUGGAGGAACAUCUGGAGAUGACCAAAGAGGAAAUGAACCAGCUGAAGUGUGAGCUUCAAAAACAAGUGGAACAGGCUACAGAGCUGAAUGUGUCUUAUCAGACUACCAGGGAGGAGAAGAAGCAGCUGGAAAAUGAUCUUUUGCAGAAAAUAAGCACGGUAUCUUUAACACAAGAGCUUCUGAAGGCUGUUCAAGAAGAGCUGCUGGUUCUGAAGAACACCAAGGAAAAUAUGGAGGAACAGAGCAAAGAGAGGGAGAACUCUUACCAUAAACAGAUCAGAGGCCUGGCAGAAGACAUGGAGAGUGUGAAAUCAGAGAGGGAUCUUCUGCUCUGUGAGAUGGAGAAGAAAUACCAGGGCUCAGUGAAUGAAAAGGAGCUGCUAGACAGCGUGAAGAUUCUCAGUGAAGACCGAGAUGAGCUACAGGAGAUCCUGAAAGGACUGAAGCAGGAAAAGCAGCAGCUCCAACUGCAACUGGAGAACACGACUGAAGAGCUGCACACUCAGAUGAGCGGUCUGACAAAGAAGCUGCAGAUGUUGGAAGCAGAGAGAGACCUUCUGCUGUCUGAGAAGACAACUGACACUCAGAGCUCCACAGAGGAGAAGGAAAAGCUGCUAAACAGAGUGAGGACUCUCAGUGAGGACAGAGAUGAGCUGCUGGAGAUCCUGGAAGGACUGAGGCAGGAGAAGCAGCAGCUCAAACUACAGCUGGAAGACACGACUGAAGAGCUGCACAGCCAGAUGAGAGGUAUGACAGAGAAGCUGCAGAUGUUGGAAGCAGAGAGAGACUCUCUGCUGUCUAAGAGGACAGCUGACACUCAGAGCUCCACAGAGGAGAAGGAGAAGCUCCUAAACAGAGUAAAAACUCUCAGUGAAGACAGAGAUGAGCUGCAGAAGAUCCUGGAGGUACUGAGGCAGGAGAAGAAGCAGCUUCAACUACAGCUGGAGGACCCUAUGGAGAAGAGCUCAGGCAUUCAGGAGAGGUUGAGGCAGCAGGAGGUGGGACAAAAGGAAUGUGAGGCCCUGAAGCAACAGGUAGGCUCAUGUUAA
Molecule: long non-coding RNA, 2515 nt
Filed under: Gouania willdenowi (blunt-snouted clingfish)
Lineage: Eukaryota; Metazoa; Chordata; Actinopteri; Blenniiformes; Gobiesocidae
Description: lncRNA (ENSGWIG00000012698.1)
Source: RNAcentral